AUAUAUCAUCAAAUUUUUCAAUUUCUUUUAAAUCUUUUCCUGGAUAGAUCAAAUCCAGAAAUCCAUAAUCUGCUGCCAUUUUGACCAUGAAAGGGUCUGCAUCUUUGGUAAUUAUUAAUCUGGGAUAAACAUGAUCUCCUGAUACAAUAAAAUAUGAUUCAUUUUCUUCCAAUUCAUAAACAAUUUUGGCAAAUGAUCUAUAUUCUUCUUCUUUUGAUGAUAAAGGGGUAUCAUCAUCUUUAUCAGUUUUGAUCCUGAUA
Molecule: long non-coding RNA, 260 nt
Filed under: Olea europaea (common olive)
Lineage: Eukaryota; Viridiplantae; Streptophyta; Magnoliopsida; Lamiales; Oleaceae
Description: long non-coding RNA (OEUR_LNC009859)
Source: RNAcentral